GAUGAACGCUGGCGGCGUGCUUAACACAUGCAAGUCGAACGAACUGAGGAGAGCUUGCUCUCCAAAGUUAGUGGCGGACGGGUGAGUAACGCGUGGGUAACCUACCCUAUGCAGGGGGAUAACGUUUGGAAAUGAACGCUAAUACCGCAUAAACUAUCGGUAGUCGCAUGACUACUAUAGCAAAGAUGCAGACUUUAGUCUGUUUUCGGCAUAGGAUGGACCCGCGUUGGAUUAGCUAGUUGGUGAGAUAACAGCCCACCAAGGCGACGAUCCAUAGCCGGCCUGAGAGGGUGAACGGCCACAUUGGGACUGAGACACGGCCCAAACUCCUACGGGAGGCAGCAGUGGGGAAUAUUGCACAAUGGGCGAAAGCCUGAUGCAGCAACGCCGCGUGAAGGAUGAAGGUCUUCGGAUUGUAAACUUCUAUCAGUAGGGAAGAAAAGCAACGUAAGUUGCCAUGACGGUACCUAACUAAGAAGCUCCGGCUAACUACGUGCCAGCAGCCGCGGUAAUACGUAGGGAGCAAGCGUUAUCCGGAUUUACUGGGUGUAAAGGGUGCGUAGGCGGCUUGUUAAGUCAGAAGUGAAAUUUCGGGGCUCAACCCCGGAGCUGCUUCUGAAACUGGCGAGCUAGAGUGUGGGAGAGGAAAGUGGAACUUUGAGUGUAGCGGUGAAAUGCGUAGAGAUUCAAAGGAACACCAGUAGCGAAGGCGGCUUUCUGGACCAUAACUGACGCUGAGGCACGAAAGCGUGGGGAGCAAACAGGAUUAGAUACCCUGGUAGUCC
Molecule: ribosomal RNA, 785 nt
Filed under: uncultured bacterium
Lineage: Bacteria
Description: bacterial SSU rRNA
Rfam family: Bacterial small subunit ribosomal RNA
Source: RNAcentral